Molecule: long non-coding RNA, 208 nt
Filed under: Elaeis guineensis (African oil palm)
Lineage: Eukaryota; Viridiplantae; Streptophyta; Magnoliopsida; Arecales; Arecaceae
Description: long non-coding RNA (EGUI_LNC015942)
Source: RNAcentral
UGGGGAGGGCAACUAUUGGGAUAUACCGACCGGUCCCUCUCACGUCGACUCACCGUCGGGCCUGCCUGACUGACGUCCGACUCUACCGACCGACGACUGCCGACACCGUCCGACCGAAGGUAUGUCGGUCGGGCGGAGCCUUUCCGUUCCCGACUGGCCGAACGACGGAGCCGAUCUUCGACUCCCACAAUGCGUCAGACUGACCGUC